UUUAUUUAAUUACUUUGCUUGCAUUCAUCUCAGUUAUUGAAUAUUAGUGCUUACCCUGUUAUGUUUUAUUCGUUGGCUUGGCCCUACGAUGUGCAAUCGUAGAUUUUCAGGUAUAGGGUGAACCUUAAAUUUUGCGGUGAAAUCCUUUACUCAUACUUGAGGUUGGCAUGUAGACGUCUCUUCUGAUACUAGUAACAUGGGGGAAAAUUCAUCUAGUUUUAUUUUCAACUUCUUUUAUUUCAUAAAUACCUCAUUUGGGAAACUUUGAUGUAUUAUUUUCAUCCAAACAACACUUAAUUCUAUUUAUAAAAUUAUUCAGAUAUUAUUAAGAGUUUUUCAGUUUAAUCAGAGUUUGUAUUUCAGACAAUUUUAUUCAUUCUGCUGCGAUGUUUAAUUAAAUAGAAAUUAUGUUUUGGAUUUUAGUAAGUGACAUCCUCUUUUGAAAAAAA
RNAcentral lists this long non-coding RNA (449 nucleotides) under Trifolium pratense (red clover). RNAcentral's name for it is "long non-coding RNA (TPRA_LNC010160)". The record is from RNAcentral. Lineage: Eukaryota; Viridiplantae; Streptophyta; Magnoliopsida; Fabales; Fabaceae.